AAUAUUGCGCAAUAGGGGAAACCCUGACGCAGCCACGCCGCGUGGAGGAUGACACCGUUAUGCGGCGUAAACUCCUUUUAUAUGAGAAGAAAACCCGGCUCGGUCGGGCAUGACGGUAUCAUAUGAAUAAGCACCGGCUAACUCCGUGCCAGCAGCCGCGGUAAUACGGAGGGUGCAAGCGUUGUCCGGAAUCACUGGGUGUAAAGGGUGUGUAGGCGGGAUUGUAAGUCAGAGGUGAAAUCCUACAGCUCAACUGUAGAACUGCCUUUGAUACUGCAAUUCUUGAGUUUCGGAGAGGUCAUUAGAAUUCGUGGUGUAGCGGUGAAAUGCGUAGAUAUCACGAGGAAUACCAGAGGCGUAGGCGGAUGACUGGACGAAUACUGACGCUGAGGCACGAAAGCGUGGGGAGCAAACAGGAUUAGAUACCCUGGUAGUCCACGCCGUA
This 445-nucleotide ribosomal RNA is filed under the name uncultured marine bacterium. RNAcentral describes it as "bacterial SSU rRNA". It matches the Rfam family "Bacterial small subunit ribosomal RNA", at positions 360 to 804 of the family's 1533-position model. The record is from RNAcentral.